AGAACGAACGCUGGCGGCAGGCCUCAAACAUGCAAGUCUAGGGGGUGUAGCAAUACAUCACCGGCGGACGGGUGCGUAACGCGUGGGAAUAUACCUAUUGGUUCGGAACAACUGAGGGAAACUUCAGCUAAUACCGAAUAAGUCCUUACGGAGAAAGAUUUAUCGCCAAUAGAUUAGCCCGCGUUCGAUUAGCUAGUUGGUGGGGUAACGCCCACCAAGGCGACGAUCGAUAGCUGUUCUGAGAGGAAGAUCAGCCACACUGGGACUGAGACACGGCCCAGACUCCUACGGGAGGCAGCAGUUGGGAAUCUUGGACAAUGGGGAAACCCUGAUCCAGCCAUGCCGCGUGAGUGAUGAAGGCCUUGGGUUGUAAAACUCUUUCGCGCACGACGAUAAUGACGGUAGUGCGAGAAGAAGCUCGGCUAACUUCGCGCCAGCAGCCGC
This 444-nucleotide ribosomal RNA is filed under the name uncultured bacterium. RNAcentral describes it as "SSU rRNA". It matches the Rfam family "Bacterial small subunit ribosomal RNA", at positions 26 to 518 of the family's 1533-position model. The record is from RNAcentral.